This 494-nucleotide ribosomal RNA is filed under the name uncultured bacterium. Its description in RNAcentral is "partial 16S ribosomal RNA". It matches the Rfam family "Bacterial small subunit ribosomal RNA", at positions 28 to 507 of the family's 1533-position model. The record is from RNAcentral.
GACGAACGCUGGCGGCGUGCUUAACACAUGCAAGUCGAACGGUGAAGCGCCUUCCUUUUUGGUGGGUGUGGAUGAGUGGCGAACGGGUGAGUAACACGUGAGUAACCUGCCCCCUUCUUCUGGAUAACCGCAUGAAAGUGUGGCUAAUACGGGAUAUUCUGGGUCUGUCGCAUGAUGGGUCUGGGAAAGAUAUUGUUUCGGUGGGGGAUGGGCUCGCGGCCUAUCAGCUUGUUGGUGGGGUGAUGGCCUACCAAGGCGGUGACGGGUAGCCGGCCUGAGAGGGUGGACGGUCACACUGGGACUGAGACACGGACCAGACUCCUACGAGAGGCAGCAGUGGGGAAUAUUGCACAAUGGGCGCAAGCCUGAUGCAGCGACGCCGCGUGAGGGAUGGAGGCCUUCGGGUUGUGAACCUCUUUCGCCAGUGAAGCAGGCCUGCCUCGUUUGUGGGUGGGUUGACGGUAGCUGGAUAAGAAGCGCCGGCUAACUACGUG